CUGAAACACUGGGCCAGUUAUAACCUGCUUCCCCUAUCAGCACGCCACUUUUAUGCAAUCAUCAUAUGCAAAACUAAACAUUUAUCAGCACUCUGCAGAAUCCCAACGCAACUCCCGGAGGUGUCAGCACACUCGCUUCCCACCGGAGCUGCGCUCUUCCGAAACAGCCAGGCUGAGAGCGCGGAGGUGCACACGGGCGCUGAAAGGCGGCGGGGGUCAUUCCGUCCUCGGCCCCCGGGUUUGUUUUUCAACAACACACGGCAAAAAAAACCACACGCUUCCAGCUAUCUCGCCUGCCCCUGCACCUGAGCAGAAAGAUCCAUCCGCGAGGGAGGAAGGAGGCGCCUAAGGCGCCGGGGGAGAGACGCUGAGUGGGGCGCUCAGAAGACAAGAGGGCGUCCGCGCGGGCCGGGCCCGGCCGGGGUCACCAGUCGCAGCUCCCGGCUGGGGCUGCGCAGGAAGGCCCGAGGUCCGGGCCGCACUCACCGAAGUCCAGGAACUGCUUCAUGGAGAGCGGGGACGGCGAGAAGCGCGCGUAGAAGUCCACUUGGCCCGGAACGCCGCGUUCGGGCGCCGGGCCGGAGCCUGAGUCCGAGCCUCCAGUGUGCCCGCAAUGGCUAGGUGAAAUCAACAAAAUCAUGGCAACUUAAAAGUGCAUUCAUACACAAGGCAGCUAUAAGUACGGUGAAGAACUGGAGGCCCACAGAGCUAGGUGGCUGGCCCAGGGUCCUACAGUGAGGGAUGGAGGCAACUCCUAAAGUCUCUGUCACAAACACAAAAGACGACUGCCUUACAAAGCCUCUUAGACAUGCAGGUUCCCACUUCCCCUAGGCCUCUGCACAAGUCACUCUCCCCUUCUGCCGGCUGGACCACCCCCCACUUUCUGACUCCCCGUCACUGGCUGACUAACCUUCAGAUCUCAGCGUGGACAUCACUUCCUCUAGGAAGCCUCUCCUCGCCCCUCCUGGGGGUCCAACCGUAUUCCUCUCAUAACCACACUUAGCCUGCUGGGCUGUGGGCCUGACCAUCUUCCCAGGCAAAGCCGUGCCAGGGACCUCCUUGGUCGGUUCACCACUGUACUCCCCAGCAACAGCACAACACCUGACAUAAAUAUAACUGGCAGAACAGAUGAACAGAAGCAUACACGCCAACAUACACCCAAUGCACAUUUGCGCACACACAAUGUGACAUUAUCCUUACGCUGACACAAUAGCUGCUCCAAUAUGGAAGACCAAAAUUUAGAAAUGACAGUUUCAAUAGUAAUUUCUGUGUCCAUCUAAAGAAUUCUUAAAUGUCACGGCUGCCAAAUGGAAUGUGCCUCCAUUUUAGGCCCUCUGUGAACCCUGACAUCAUCCAUUUAUCAGUGACCUGCUAACUUCACAAUGAACCAGACGAAGGCUCACAUGCUGAGUGCCCCUCACAGCAGAAGCAGGGGAGGGUGUGGGUGCAUUAAAACCGUUUAUCUACCAAACCCACUCUAACCUUUUCUGACCCUCCACACAGUUCACAUCAUCUUAAAAUCCUUGCCGGCCACUUUUGCUGACCUUCUGAGGCGCAAGCCAAGUAGAAUAGUCAUUAAGGCUCAAUUAUAAAUAUCUGUACGUAUGGAACACCACAUCUGAGGACUGCUGAGUUAAAACAGUCUAGUCAGACAAUAAGCUCACACUCUGACACUGGGAACAGAUUUUAGAUGUAUUAACUUCUGCAGCUUUGUGCAAGUUCUGCUUUAUUUGAUUCAGAAUUUCCCAAUACCGUGGAAGCAAAGGCAAUGAAAACAGGUUUUCUCUCAAUGUCUUCAGAAAAAAAAGUUCUAUCUAUAGUAGGCCAUCCAUAAACACUUGCUUAAUGGAGUAGUUAUAUAAUAUAAAAUUAAUUUACAUGGCAUCAAGCACAGCAUUAAAGCUAGAAGAGGGCUUCCCUGGUGGCGCAGUGGUUGAGAAUCUGCCUGCCAAUGCAGGUCACACGGGUUCGAGCCCUGGUCUGGGAGGAUCCCACAUGCCGUGGAGCAACUAAGCCCGUGAGCCACAACUACUGAGCCUGCGCGUCUGAAGCCUGUGCUCCGCAACAAGAGAGGCCGCGAUAGUGAGAGGCCCGCGCACUGCGAUGAAGAGUGGCCCCUGCUCGCCGCAACUAGAGAAAGCCCUCGUACAGAAACAAAGACCCAACACA
Long non-coding RNA from Balaenoptera ricei (Rice's whale), 2169 nucleotides. RefSeq lists it as uncharacterized. Lineage: Eukaryota; Metazoa; Chordata; Mammalia; Artiodactyla; Balaenopteridae. The record is from RefSeq and is a predicted model, not a curated record. The transcript has 3 exons.